GACGAACGCUGGCGGCGUGCUUAACACAUGCAAGUCGAACGGAAAGGCUCCAGCUUGCUGGAGUACUCGAGUGGCGAACGGGUGAGUAACACGUGGGUAAUCUGCCCUGCACUCUGGGAUAAGCCUGGGAAACUGGGUCUAAUACUGGAUAUGACCUUUCUCCUUAUGGGGUUUGGUGGAAAGUUUUUCGGUGUAGGAUGAGCCCGCGGCCUAUCAGCUUGUUGGUGGGGUGAUGGCCUACCAAGGCGACGACGGGUAGCCGGCCUGAGAGGGUGAUCGGCCACAUUGGGACUGAGAUACGGCCCAGACUCCUACGGGAGGCAGCAGUGGGGAAUAUUGCACAAUGGGCGGAAGCCUGAUGCAGCGACGCCGCGUGAGGGAUGACGGCCUUCGGGUUGUAAACCUCUUUCAGCAGGGACGAAGCGUAGGUGACGGUACCUGCAGAAGAAGCACCGGCUAACUAUGUG
This 467-nucleotide ribosomal RNA is filed under the name uncultured bacterium. RNAcentral describes it as "partial 16S ribosomal RNA". It matches the Rfam family "Bacterial small subunit ribosomal RNA", at positions 28 to 507 of the family's 1533-position model. The record is from RNAcentral.